UAAUUGAAGAGUUUGAUCAUGGCUCAGAUUGAACGCUGGCGGCAGGCCUAACACAUGCAAGUCGAGCGGUAACAUUUCUAGCUUGCUAGAAGAUGACGAGCGGCGGACGGGUGAGUAAUGCCUGGGAAAUUGCCUUGAUGUGGGGGAUAACCAUUGGA
This 158-nucleotide non-coding RNA is filed under the name Vibrio palustris. RNAcentral describes it as "Bacterial small subunit ribosomal RNA". It matches the Rfam family "Bacterial small subunit ribosomal RNA", at positions 1 to 154 of the family's 1533-position model. Lineage: Bacteria; Pseudomonadati; Pseudomonadota; Gammaproteobacteria; Vibrionales; Vibrionaceae. The record is from Rfam by way of RNAcentral.